UACGGGGGGGGCAAGCGUUGUUCGGAAUUACUGGGCGUAAAGGGCUCGUAGGUGGCCAACUAAGUCAGACGUGAAAUCCCUCGGCUUAACCGGGGAACUGCGUCUGAUACUGGAUGGCUUGAGUUUGGGAGAGGGACGCGGAAUUCCAGGUGUAGCGGUGAAAUGCGUAGAUAUCGGGAGGAACACCGGUGGCGAAGGCGGUCUUCUGGACGGUGACUGACGCUGAGGCGCGAAAGCGUGGGGAGCAAACGGG
RNAcentral lists this ribosomal RNA (253 nucleotides) under uncultured bacterium. RNAcentral's name for it is "partial 16S ribosomal RNA". It matches the Rfam family "Bacterial small subunit ribosomal RNA", at positions 524 to 776 of the family's 1533-position model. The record is from RNAcentral.